This 3651-nucleotide long non-coding RNA is filed under the name Homo sapiens (human). RNAcentral's name for it is "HSALNT0312536". The record is from RNAcentral. Lineage: Eukaryota; Metazoa; Chordata; Mammalia; Primates; Hominidae.
AUUUUAAAUUAUCUUGACUUGGUGUGCCUUAUUAGUUUCCAUCUAGAGUUUUGUCAUAGGGAUGUUUUUAUUUCAGCUCUCUAAAAAUGUCCCUAGGCCUGAAAAGACCCCACAGUUCAUUUUUGGUUGCCAGGGAAACUGCCUGGAUUUGCAUCGACUUUCGCUGAUUCCUGAGGGCAAUCCUUGACAGAUGUGAGGGCCCAAAAGGGUACCGGCCUCCAAAGGCUACCUCCUUGACAGCAUCAGCCCUCAUUCCAUUUCCAGGGGACCAUCCCGUUGUAAUUCACAUUCAAGCUGCUUCUGGUGGAUCUUCCUGGACCUCCGCUAUGGCCUGGAGUGAGAUGUAGCUCAGUACAACCAGUCAGAACAUCACAGGUUUCUCCCUACGGGAAAGAAGAGAAAACUAUUCUCUGAAAGGAAAUGGAGCCCAGAUCUGGAGUAAUGCAAAACCCCAGAGACAUAUCCAAGAUGGUAAUGUUCUGAGACAUGGUUUGCCAUGUUUCCUAGGCUGGUCUUGAAGUCCAACCUGGAGUUUAAUUUAUUUCUUCUGUGAACUUUUUGAAGUCCCUUCAAACAUAGCCUCACGAACAUAAUAUGGAGUAAGGAAUGUAGUGACAGGAUUGAUGGUUGAAUUUCCUGGGAUAAAUAGUGUAGAGAUGAAUGAAGAGAAAAUUACAUCUUGGAUCAAUUAAGUUCUCCUGGGCAUAUACUUAGGAGUGGAAUGGCUGGUCACAUAAUAACUAUGUGCAAUCUUUGAGAAACUGCUGGACUGACUUCCUACACUAUUUGAUAUUCCUACCAGCAAUGUAUUUCAUGGAGAGUAGAGAUUCCAUUAACAAUGUGGAGAAGAGAGAAGUAGAGUGAUUGCAGAGCAAGAAAAACAAACCAUUGUCUGGGAGUAUAAGUCUGGGUUUCACUUGAGUAGGGCCACCUUCCUAUUAUGUUAUUUUUUGCCUAUCAAAUGGUAAGCUUCACAUGAAAGCAGAGAUAGUCACAAUCUUGUUUAAGCCGGUCCACGAUGUCUAACACAUAGAAGGAUCCAAUUUCUUAAACUGAGUGAGUGAAUGAAUGGAUGGAAUAAUCAGUUAUUUUCCCAGGCAUUCAGGUGUAUGUAUCUGCUGGGAAGCUUGGAAAGCUGAUUAAGCAGUUGGACAGUGGUUGGAACUGGGGUAUCAACCGGGAAGUCACCCACUUGGUGACUUGCUGAAGGAGGCGAUGAAGAUCUUUGAGUAAUGAAGUAUAGUUGAGGGAAAAAAAAAGCAUGUUUAAGAAGUGAAGAGGUGUGCUUUCAUAGGGAGAGAGAAGGAGGAGAUAAUCUGGUGAAGGAAAUAGAAGAGGAGUGGGCAGAAAGAGAAGAUGAAAACUAGAAUAAAGCUGUGCUAAGGGAUGAACAAGACUUUCAAAAUGGGAAUUGCUCUCAGGCUGGAGAUGAUUUAAUUAGGAUGAGAAAUGAAGACAGGCUCCUGAGUUUUGAUAAUUAGGUAUCUCUAGUGAUCUUUGGUGACAAGGUUUCAGAAGAAAAUGACGUUGCAGGGGAUUAAAGAGGACAAACGUAGUAAAACGAGGAAGGGAAUUAAUAAGUGAUAGGACUAGAAGAUGUAUCAUAGGAGCCUGAUGAAAGAUGGAGUUUUAAAGAUAAAUGAAUCCUGAGCCUAUUUGCUGGCAGAAAGGAAGAAGCACUCAGUACAGAAGGAAAAUUUAUUUAAAGAUUCUAUUGGCAGCAGUCCUUUGUUGAGAGUAUGUCUGACUGGGAUAGGUAACUUCAAUUUGGAAACAGUUUGAAACUUCCAACUAAAAUGUGACAUUUGGAAAUAGUUUUUCACAGUCAAAGGUGUUUAAAGUUACCAGUGUCAAGCCAGAUCUACCAAAAACUGAAUCUACAUUUUAGAAUAAGUAUAAAGUAUUUUAUGAACAUUAAAAAUUUCUUCAUCAGAUGAGUACACCAGGGAUAAACACAUUUGAUUAUUUUAUGAACUUACUAUCUACACCUAAAAUUUCUGCCCAAUAUUGUCUUCAAUUUUUCUUGGAUGAAUUUGUGAUAUCUUUGAACUUACCACUUUAUCAAGUAAUCAAAACCAUACAAUAUUACAAAUAAGACAAGGGCAGUUAACCUGAUCAUCUCCCUUUACUUUGAUUCCCCCAAUAUCUAGUACAAUGAAUGAAUGCAUGAUGAAUUAAUGAAAUUUUGUAAAAUAACCAUCAUUGAUGUCAAGAUUUUAUAGGUAGAGUUUACAGUGUAAAUAUCUAACUAUAUUUCUGAUUUGAGCACAAACCAUGAGAUAAAGAAUAAAAAUUUUAUUUUCUCCAAUUUUAAUUAAAAUAAAAAUUUUAAAGUAAGCAUUUUACAAGUUCUUAUAAAUGGAAAGUAAUUAAAUUGUAAGAAUGCCUUGGCAAGCCUUAAAGAGGAAGGAAUGGAUGGAGCUUGAAGACAUUAUGCUAAUGAAACAAGCAACACAGAAUUGGACAAAUGCUGUGUGAUUCCACUUAUAUUAGAGACCUAGUCAAAUUCAUAGAGACAAAAAGUAGAAUGGUGGUAGCCAGGGACUGGGAGGAGGGAAAAUGGGGAGUUUUUAAAAGGAUAUAAAGUUUAGCUUUGCAAGAUAAAAAAUUCUGUAGAUCAGUUGCGCAACAAUCUAAAUAUACUUAACACUACUGAACAGUACAAUUACAAAUGAUUAAGAUGGUAAAUUUUGUUCUAUGUCUUUUUUUACUACAAUUAAAGAUAAUAAAAAUUGAGUCUGUGAAUGUUUUAGUAGAUCAACCAAGUUUAUCAGUAAUAUCAUAACUACUGUCAACUAUAUUGUUGCUAGAAAGUUACAGAAUUCUUACUCUAUUCUACGACAAGCUGCUUUACAAAUCUGGCUGCAACCUUCAGCUCUGAGUCCCUGCUACAGCAAGAGUAAACAAAGUCUUCCCUUUCCGUCUGGAGCCAUUGGGCUAAUUAUCUCUAAUUGCUUGGACUACUGCAAAUUUCGUGCAUAAAAUAUGAUUCAUUUCUCAUUUUUUCUCUUAUAAAUUUAUAAUGUUGUUACAAUGAGUUGUCAUGAUUUUAAAAAGAAUUCCUAUUUUAUAGAUUUUUGUAGUUAAGGAAGGAAUUUGUUCUGCCUCUUUUAAGAACACUUUCGUAUCACACUGCCUCCUUUUAAAAGAAGUAUGUAAUUUCUUAUUUCUAAAGUUAAAUGAGCUCAGUUCAGAAAAGAAGAAAGUAUUAUGCAUAAUGCACCUAAUACCGCUUUUUGUUUAUCCUUACUGUUCUUUUAUUGAUGCAUAGAUUUUUUAAAAACUCUGUAUUCUAGAGCUAACCUGCUUUUUUUCUAGUAAAAAUUAUUGUGCAUCCUUAUACAUAACAUUGCAUUGAAAAUGCUGUUUGCUAAAUCACAGCACCCAGCCUUGAAAUUUCCUUAGUAUAUAUUCCCAUAAGUGAAAUUAUUGUGCUAAAUAAUUUGAAUGUUUUCAGAGUUUAACCAUAAAUUGGCAAAUUAUCUUGCUCUUUAGAACCUUAUUAUGAAAGUGCUUAUCUUAUAGUUUUGCUAAGACUGUGUACAAGUGCUAUUUUCAAUAUUGUAGAAGUUGAUGAUCAGCUUAUCCAUAUUGUAUCAUUGAUUUAAUGUGAUUUACUUGAUUACUAGAGAAAAGGGAUAAAUUUUAAAA